Molecule: ribosomal RNA, 791 nt
Filed under: uncultured crenarchaeote
Lineage: Archaea; Thermoproteati; Thermoproteota
Description: bacterial SSU rRNA
Rfam family: Archaeal small subunit ribosomal RNA
Source: RNAcentral
ACGGCUCAGUAACACGUAGUCAACAUGCCCAGGGGACGUGGAUAACCUCGGGAAACUGAGGAUAAACCGCGAUAGGUCACUACUUCUGGAAUGGGUAAUGACCCAAACCUACAUGGCCCCUGGAUUGGACUGCGGCCGAUCAGGCUGUUGGUGAGGUAAUGGCCCACCAAACCUGUAACCGGUACGGGCUCUGAGAGGAGGAGCCCGGAGAUGGGCACUGAGACAAGGGCCCAGGCCCUAUGGGGCGCAGCAGGCCCGAAACCUCUGCAAUAGGCGAAAGCUUGACAGGGUUACUCUGAGUGAUUUCCGUUAAGGAGAUCUUUAGGCACCUCUAAAAAUGGUGCAGAAUAAGGGGUGGGCAAGUCUGGUGUCAGCCGCCGCGGUAAUACCAGCACCCCGAGUGGUCGGGACGUUUAUUGGGCCUAAAGCAUCCGUAGCCGGUUCUACAAGUCUUCCGUUAAAUCCACCUGCUUAACAGAUGGGCUGCGGAAGAUACUAUAGAGCUAGGAGGCGGGAGAGGCAAGCGGUACUCGAUGGGUAGGGGUAAAAUCCGUUGAUCCAUUGAAGACCACCAGUGGCGAAGGCGGCUUGCCAGAACGCGCUCGACGGUGAGGGAUGAAAGCUGGGGGAGCAAACCGGAUUAGAUACCCGGGUAGUCCCAGCUGUAAACGAUGCAGACUCGGUGAUGAGUUGGCUUCAUGCCAACUCAGUGCCGCAGGGAAGCCGUUAAGUUUGCCGCCUGGGGAGUACGGUCGCAAGACUGAAACUUAAAGGAAUUGGCGGGGGAGCAC